RNAcentral lists this ribosomal RNA (375 nucleotides) under uncultured eukaryote. RNAcentral's name for it is "partial 18S ribosomal RNA". It matches the Rfam family "Eukaryotic small subunit ribosomal RNA", at positions 592 to 976 of the family's 1831-position model. The record is from RNAcentral.
CAAUAGCGUAUAUUUAAGUUGUUGCAGUUAAGAAGCUCGUAGUUGGAUUUCGGUUAAGAGCGACCGGUCCGCCGUUUGGUGUGCACUGGUUGGUUUUAACUUCCUGUAGAGGACGUGCUCUGGGUUUAACGACCUGGACUCGGAGUCUACGUGGUUACUUUGAAAAAAUUAGAGUGUUCAAAGCGGGCUUACGCUUGAAUAUUUCAGCAUGGAAUAACACUAUAGGACUCCUGUCCUAUUUCGUUGGUCUCGGGACGGGAGUAAUGAUUAAGAGGAACAGUUGGGGGCAUUCGUAUUUCAUUGUCAGAGGUGAAAUUCUUGGAUUUAUGAAAGACGAACUUCUGCGAAAGCAUUUGCCAAGGAUGUUUUCAUUAA